UCUCUGCAAGUUGAACGAGUGGAUUACUCAAAUCGAUUGUGCCAACUAAACAGACUUUUUGGGAUAUAAAGAAGGAUUUUAUCUAACAAAACGACACUACAUGUUAUAACUGGGAUCCAUAGGAUGACACAUCAGAGGAAGAUUUUCAAAAAAGUUCCCAGUUGUCUUGAAAGCACCGUAAAUCCAGAGAAUGCCAGACUUUGAUGACAAUGUUUGAUGACAAAAUUUGCCCACAAGAAGGACCACCGCGCCACCUUCCUGUUUAAGUGAGCGCAGCACAACAAGAGAUUGGAGAUGUAAGAGAAAUAGAGAUGGAGAGAGAAACAUCAAAUAAAGCGUCCUGCCUCUGUGCGACUGUCACAAUUUCUAUAGGAGCGCUCUUUCCACAACAGUCCACAAACACUCCCUCCACUCGCACGCGACCGAGUAGUCCGACCUCCUCAUUUAAAGCCACGAG
This 457-nucleotide long non-coding RNA is filed under the name Salmo salar (Atlantic salmon). RNAcentral describes it as "lncRNA (ENSSSAG00000118657.1)". Lineage: Eukaryota; Metazoa; Chordata; Actinopteri; Salmoniformes; Salmonidae. The record is from RNAcentral.